AACGAACGCUGGCGGCAUGCCUAACACAUGCAAGUCGAACGAGAUCUUCGGGUCUAGUGGCGCACGGGUGCGUAACGCGUGGGAAUCUGCCCUUUGGUUCGGAAUAACAGUUGGAAACGACUGCUAGUACCGGAUGAUGACGAAAGUCCAAAGAUUUAUCGCCAGAGGAUGAGCCCGCGUAGGAUUAGCUAGUUGGUGUGGUAAAGGCGCACCAAGGCGACGAUCCUUAGCUGGUCUGAGAGGAUGAUCAGCCACACUGGGACUGAGACACGGCCCAGACUCCUACGGGAGGCAGCAGUGGGGAAUAUUGGACAAUGGGCGAAAGCCUGAUCCAGCAAUGCAGCGUGAGUGAUGAAGGCCUUAGGGUUGUAAAGCUCUUUUACCCGGGAUGAUAAUGACAGUACCGGGAGAAUAAGCUCCGGCUAACUCCGUGCCAGCAGCCGCCGUAA
This 449-nucleotide ribosomal RNA is filed under the name uncultured bacterium. RNAcentral describes it as "partial 16S ribosomal RNA". It matches the Rfam family "Bacterial small subunit ribosomal RNA", at positions 29 to 523 of the family's 1533-position model. The record is from RNAcentral.